GAAUAUUGGACAAUGGGCGAAAGCCUGAUCCAGCCAUGCCGCGUGUGUGAAGAAGGUCUUCGGAUUGUAAAGCACUUUAAGUUGGGGGGAAGGGUUGUAGAUUAACACUCUGCAAUUUAGACGUUACCGACAGAAGAAGCAACGGCACACUUCGGGCCAGCAGCCGCGGUAAUACGAAGGGUGCAAGCGUUAAUCGGAAUUACUGGGCGUAAAGCGCGCGUAGGUGGUUCAGUAAGUUGGAUGUGAAAUCCCCGGGCUCAACCUGGGAACUGCAUCCAAAACUGCUGAGCUAGAGUACGGUAGAGGGUGGUGGAAUUUCCUGUGUAGCGGUGAAAUGCGUAGAUAUAGGAAGGAACACCAGUGGCGAAGGCGACCACCUGGACUGAUACUGACACUGAGGUGCGAAAGCGUGGGGAGCAAACAGG
Molecule: ribosomal RNA, 425 nt
Filed under: uncultured bacterium
Lineage: Bacteria
Description: bacterial SSU rRNA
Rfam family: Bacterial small subunit ribosomal RNA
Source: RNAcentral